Molecule: long non-coding RNA, 566 nt
Organism: Coturnix japonica (Japanese quail)
Lineage: Eukaryota; Metazoa; Chordata; Aves; Galliformes; Phasianidae
Source: Ensembl
UACAAUUAAACCUUACAAAGAAAUCUUUUAUUGCUUUAUGCUAUGCUGUUACUUGGAAAUAAAUCUGUAUUGAAUACGUGUUAACUGUAUUUAAUGGGCUGAUUGUCUACUGAUGAGGGUGUAGGGCUAAAAGCUAGCAAAUCAGGUAUGAUGCUCCAGGCUCACUGAAUUUUGACAGAAAACUGCCGCUGAUUUUUAUAAUUAAGAGCCCAGGAUUUAUUUGCUUAACCACUUAUGUCUGGACUUUCAGGAGUGUGGGAGAAAGUCUGGAGCUGUAGGGCCUAAUUCAGGUCCCACCACUAUGUGCAGCAGAUACCAAUGGAAGGUGAAGAACUUGCCUGCUUUCUGCACUGAGUAAAGGCUGACAUGGAAGGACCUAUGUCAGGUCCCAUUGCUGAAGAAAGCUACAUACACAAGCAGUUGCAGCUGCAUGCUGGGCCUGCAAGACGUGUCAAGCUCUAACUGCCCUGUACUAAGAGAUUUCCUCAUGUCAGAAAAGAGGUAAGGUUCUCUUGAAUAUAUUUUAGAAGAAAAUGUGAUCUGUGUUAAUGUAGGAAUUAAAACAG